ACGAACGCUGGCGGCGUGCCUAACACAUGCAAGUCAACUUGAAGGAAGGAGCAAUCUGACCUGAUGGUGGCGCUAGGGUGCGUAACGCGUAAGUAACUUGCCCCAAGGUAAGGAAUAACGUCGAGAAAUCGGCGCUAAUACCUCAUAAUGCAGCGGAUCCGCAUGGAUAUGUUGUUAAAGGUUUACCGCCUUGGGAUAGGCUUGCGUCUGAUUAGCUAGUUGGUGUGGUAAUGGCACACCAAGGCUACGAUCAGUAACUGGUCUGAGAGGAUGAUCAGUCACACUGGAACUGAGACACGGUCCAGACUCCUACGGGAGGCAGCAGUGAGGAAUAUUGGGCAAUGCACGAAAGUGUGACCCAGCAACGCCGCGUGGAGGAUGAAGGUAUUCUAUAUCGUAAACUCCUGUGAGAGCAGACGAAAGACAGAUUAUUAAUUUGGAUGACUGUAUGCUCAGAGGAAGCCCCGGCUAACUACGUG
This 479-nucleotide ribosomal RNA is filed under the name uncultured bacterium. RNAcentral's name for it is "bacterial SSU rRNA". It matches the Rfam family "Bacterial small subunit ribosomal RNA", at positions 29 to 507 of the family's 1533-position model. The record is from RNAcentral.